UGUGANACGGGAUUCUACGUGCUCAUGUAAAGCAUUGGGCUUUUGCUAUAGUUGUAAAUAAUCAUGGCGAAUAAGGGGUGGGCAAGACUGGUGCCAGCCGCCGCGGUAACACCAGCGCCCCAAGUGGCAACCAGCAUUAUUGGGCCUAAAGCGUCCGUAGCCGGGAUGGUAAAUCUUUUGUGAAAUUGUUGGGCUCAACCCAACGGCGUGCAGGAAACACUGCUAUCCUUGGGACCGGGAGGGGUCAGAGGUAUUCUGGGGGGAGCGGUAAAAUGUUGUAAUCCUCGGAGGACCACCUGUGGCGAAGGCGUCUGACCAGAACGGAUCCGACGGUGAGGGACGAAAGCUAGGGGAGCAAACCGGAUUAGAUACCCGAGAACUGCUUUAAGCAAAUUUCGGGAGCUAGGUGUGACAGAUUUGCUUGACAUACUACAAGUACGAAUUAAAGAAAAAAUAAACUGCCUGGAUUUCCUCGCUGCUUACCCGAGAAUUCCUAGAAUUGCG
Molecule: ribosomal RNA, 504 nt
Filed under: uncultured archaeon
Lineage: Archaea
Description: bacterial SSU rRNA
Rfam family: Archaeal small subunit ribosomal RNA
Source: RNAcentral